UUUUAAGAAGGUGUCUAGGGA
This 21-nucleotide non-coding RNA is filed under the name Rattus norvegicus (Norway rat). The record is from RNAcentral. Lineage: Eukaryota; Metazoa; Chordata; Mammalia; Rodentia; Muridae.